RNAcentral lists this transfer RNA (72 nucleotides) under Defluviitaleaceae bacterium. RNAcentral's name for it is "tRNA-Thr". It matches the Rfam family "tRNA". From Rfam's summary of the family: Transfer RNA (tRNA) molecules are approximately 80 nucleotides in length. Their secondary structure includes four short double-helical elements and three loops (D, anti-codon, and T loops). RNAcentral also lists the same sequence under 1 other name. The record is from RNAcentral. Lineage: Bacteria; Bacillati; Bacillota; Clostridia; Lachnospirales; Defluviitaleaceae.
GCUCCCGUGGCUCAGUGGUAGAGCAGCUCACUCGUAAUGAGCAGGUCAUCGGUUCGAAUCCGAUCGGGAGCU